Molecule: ribosomal RNA, 444 nt
Filed under: uncultured bacterium
Lineage: Bacteria
Description: bacterial SSU rRNA
Rfam family: Bacterial small subunit ribosomal RNA
Source: RNAcentral
AGAGUUUGAUCCUGGCUCAGAGCGAACGCUGGCGGCAGGCUUAACACAUGCAAGUCGAGCGGGCGUAGCAAUACGUCAGCGGCAGACGGGUGAGUAACGCGUGGGAACGUACCUUUUGGUUCGGAACAACACAGGGAAACUUGUGCUAAUACCGGAUAAGCCCUUACGGGGAAAGAUUUAUCGCCGAAAGAUCGGCCCGCGUCUGAUUAGCUAGUUGGUGAGGUAACGGCUCACCAAGGCGACGAUCAGUAGCUGGUCUGAGAGGAUGAUCAGCCACAUCGGGACUGAGACACGGUCCGGACUCCUACGGGAGGCAGCAGUGGGGAAUAUUGGACAAUGGGGGAAACCCUGAUCCAGCGACGCCGCGUGUGUGAAGAAGGCCUGCGGGUUGUAAGGCACUUUUAGUGGGGACAAAAAGCCAUGGAUUAAUACUCUGUGGUCUUG